RNAcentral lists this ribosomal RNA (437 nucleotides) under Bifidobacterium dentium. RNAcentral describes it as "bacterial SSU rRNA". It matches the Rfam family "Bacterial small subunit ribosomal RNA", at positions 28 to 463 of the family's 1533-position model. Lineage: Bacteria; Bacillati; Actinomycetota; Actinomycetes; Bifidobacteriales; Bifidobacteriaceae. The record is from RNAcentral.
GAUGAACGCUGGCGGCGUGCUUAACACAUGCAAGUCGAACGGGAUCCCGGGGGUUCGCUUCCGGGUGAGAGUGGCGAACGGGUGAGUAAUGCGUGACCGACCUGCCCCAUACACCGGAAUAGCUCCUGGAAACGGGUGGUAAUGCCGGAUGCUCCGGUUGGAUGCAUGUCCUUCCGGGAAAGAUUCUAUCGGUAUGGGAUGGGGUCGCGUCCUAUCAGCUUGAUGGCGGGGUGACGGCCCACCAUGGCUUCGACGGGUAGCCGGCCUGAGAGGGCGACCGGCCACAUUGGGACUGAGAUACGGCCCAGACUCCUACGGGAGGCAGCAGUGGGGAAUAUUGCACAAUGGGCGCAAGCCUGAUGCAGCGACGCCGCGUGCGGGAUGGAGGCCUUCGGGUUGUAAACCGCUUUUGAUCGGGAGCAAGCCCUUCGGGGUGA